GCCGGGGUGGUGUAAUCGGGAAACACACCGCACGUCCUAAGGAAUUCUGGGUUCGAACCCCAGCCCCGGUG
Molecule: non-coding RNA, 71 nt
Organism: Aspergillus saccharolyticus JOP 1030-1
Lineage: Eukaryota; Fungi; Ascomycota; Eurotiomycetes; Eurotiales; Aspergillaceae
Source: the annotation of a RefSeq genome assembly